RNAcentral lists this ribosomal RNA (497 nucleotides) under uncultured bacterium. RNAcentral describes it as "partial 16S ribosomal RNA". It matches the Rfam family "Bacterial small subunit ribosomal RNA", at positions 28 to 507 of the family's 1533-position model. The record is from RNAcentral.
GAUGAACGCUGGCGGCGUGCCUAAUACAUGCAAGUCGAGCGAACGGACGAGAAGCUUGCUUCUCUGAUGUUAGCGGCGGACGGGUGAGUAACACGUGGAUAACCUACCUAUAAGACUGGGAUAACUUCGGGAAACCGUAGCUAAUACCGGAUAAUAUUUUGAACCGCAUGGUUCAAAAGUGAAAGACGGUCUUGCUGUCACUUAUAGAUGGAUCCGCGCUGCAUUAGCUAGUUGGUAAGGUAACGGCUUACCAAGGCAACGAUGCAUAGCCGACCUGAGAGGGUGAUCGGACACACUGGAACUGAGACACGGCCCAGACUCCUACGGGAGGAAGCAGCAGGGAAUCUUACGCAAUGCGCGAAAGCCUGACGGAGCAACGCCGCGUGAGUGAUGAAGGUCUUCGGAUCGUAAAACUCUGCUAUUAGGGAAGAACAUAAGUGUAAGUAACUGUGCACAUCUUGACGGUACCUAAUCAGAAAGCCACGGCUAACUACGUG